UACGAAGGGGGCUAGCGUUGUUCGGAAUUACUGGGCGUAAAGCGCACGUAGGCGGACUAUUAAGUCAGGGGUGAAAUCCCGGGGCUCAACCCCGGAACUGCCUUUGAUACUGGUAGUCUCGAGUCCGGAAGAGGUGAGUGGAAUUCCGAGUGUAGAGGUGAAAUUCGUAGAUAUUCGGAGGAACACCAGUGGCGAAGGCGGCUCACUGGUCCGGUACUGACGCUGAUGCGCGAAAGCCAGGGGAGCAAACGGG
This 253-nucleotide ribosomal RNA is filed under the name uncultured bacterium. Its description in RNAcentral is "partial 16S ribosomal RNA". It matches the Rfam family "Bacterial small subunit ribosomal RNA", at positions 524 to 776 of the family's 1533-position model. The record is from RNAcentral.